RNAcentral lists this ribosomal RNA (464 nucleotides) under uncultured bacterium. RNAcentral describes it as "partial 16S ribosomal RNA". It matches the Rfam family "Bacterial small subunit ribosomal RNA", at positions 28 to 507 of the family's 1533-position model. The record is from RNAcentral.
GACGAACGCUGGCGGCGUGCUUAACACAUGCAAGUCGAACGGAAAGGCCCUGCUUGCGGGGUACUCGCGUGGCGAACGGGUGAGUAACACGUGUGUGUUCUGCCCUGCACUUCUUGGUAUGCCUUGGGAACUGUGUCUCAUACCGGGGAUAGGCCCUUCUUAUUGUUGUUGUUGGAUAGUUUGUUCGGUUGGGGAUGGACUCGCGGCCUAUCAGCUUGUUGGUGGGGUAGUGGCCUACCAAGGCGGCGACGGGUAGCCGGCCUGAGAGGGUGGCCGGCCACAUUGGGACUGAGAUACGGCCCAGACUCCUACGGGAGGCAGCAGUGGGGAAUAUUGCACAAUGGGCGGAAGCCUGAUGCAGCAACGCCGCGUGCGGGAUGACGGCCUUCGGGUUGUAAACUGCUUUCGCCAGGGACGAAGCGUGUGUGACGGUAAUUAGUAAAGAAGCACCGGCUAACUACGUG